This 253-nucleotide ribosomal RNA is filed under the name uncultured Coprococcus sp. RNAcentral's name for it is "partial 16S ribosomal RNA". It matches the Rfam family "Bacterial small subunit ribosomal RNA", at positions 524 to 776 of the family's 1533-position model. The record is from RNAcentral. Lineage: Bacteria; Bacillati; Bacillota; Clostridia; Lachnospirales; Lachnospiraceae.
UACGUAGGGGGCAAGCGUUAUCCGGAUUUACUGGGUGUAAAGGGAGCGUAGACGGUGAUGCAAGUCAGAAGUGAAAGCCCGCAGCUCAACUGCGGGACUGCUUUUGAAACUGCCAGGCUAGAGUGUCGGAGAGGUAAGUGGAAUUCCUAGUGUAGCGGUGAAAUGCGUAGAUAUUAGGAGGAACACCAGUGGCGAAGGCGGCUUACUGGACGAUGACUGACGCUGAGGCUCGAAAGCGUGGGGAGCAAACAGG